RNAcentral lists this unclassified non-coding RNA (194 nucleotides) under uncultured Ganoderma. RNAcentral describes it as "partial internal transcribed spacer 2". The record is from RNAcentral. Lineage: Eukaryota; Fungi; Basidiomycota; Agaricomycetes; Polyporales; Polyporaceae.
AAUCUUCAACCUACAAGCCUUUGCGGUUUGUAGGCUUGGACUUGGAGGCUUGUCGGCCCUUUGUCGGUCGGCUCCUCUUAAAUGCAUUAGCUUGAUUCCUUGCGGAUCGGCUCUCGGUGUGAUAAUGUCUACGCCGCGACCGUGAAGCGUUUGGCGAGCUUCUAACCGUCUUCGCUUGAAGACAGCUUUAUGAC